CGUGGUCGCGGCAAAUAAGGCUAUUUGCGACCAACAUCCUUAUUAGUUACUGAAUGGUUAUCCUACACCGACGAAAUGGAUAUUUGGUCGCGGAAAAGCAAAACCAAGUUGGCGGGGUGGAGGUAAACGUUUGGCGACUAACGUUUCGUCGCGGAUAAUAAGGCUAUCUGCGACCACCAUCCUUGUUAGUUACGGAAUAAUUAUCCUACACCGACGAACUGCAUAUUUGGUCGCGGAAAAGCAAAACCAAGUUGGCGGGUGGCGGUAAAACUUUGGGCGACUAACGUUUGGUCACGGAAAAGAAGGCUAUCGGCGACUAACAUCCUUGUUAGUGACGGAAUAAAUAUCCUACACCGACGAAAUGCAUAUUUAGUCGCGGAAAAGCAAUACUAAGUUGGCACGAGUCCAAUAUUUCGCGCGGGCUGGAGGAAAAACUAACGAUGUUGUGCUAGCCCCUGUAAAAUGCUAAUUUCUAAGUUCAAAAAAAGAAAAAACUACUUAUUUUCAAAUGGUGCCAUUUGACAUCUUAAUUCACUUAGGAAUGCAUAUUCUUGUCUCUUCGGCUAAAUCUCAAUCCCACAACUUUUCUUCAUACUUAAAUUCUUUUUUUUAUUAUUAUUAUAAUAUAAUUUUAAAAGCUCGAGCUCGAUGCUUGACUCCUUAUCAAAUAAAUAUAUGGAUCGACAGGAUACGCGACAUGAGGACGUGGCAGGAACGAAAAUUCGCUUAAAAAUAUAUAGAAUUUUUGGACAUCCUACGGGCAGGAUCGAAAAUCCGCUCCGAAAUAAAUUUGCACGCAUCCUUUUUAGUUACUGAAUGAUUGUUUUACAUCAAUUAAAUGCAUAUUUGAUCGUAGAAAAUCAAAAUCAAGUUGGCGCGAGUCCAGUAUUUCGCGCGGGCUGGAGGUAAAAGUUUUAGCGACUAAAUUUUGGUUCCUAAAGGUUCAUAUGUAGCGACUAAACCAAUUUAGUCGCGAAAAGUAUGAAUGCAGGGAAACCAAAUAAAAAAAAACCUAAUUCCCUAUUUUUCUCCUUUUCACCCGCACGUCGCCUUCAUCCCGCCUUCACCCCGCCUUCACCCUUUCGCCCGUUCGGUCAUCCCUUCGGCGUCGGCGUCCCAAGGAUACAAAAAUAAAUCUAUAAACUAAUCAAUCUAACUUGAUGAAGUACUUUGUAGGUCAGUCAAAAUGGACAAGAGUUGGAUGACAAUAAAAAAUAGAAUGAAGAGUAAAGUGUAUAGAGAAGGGGUGAAGUCCUUUAUUGAAUUUGCGGUGGCAAAUUUAAGCUCAGCAAAUGAUAUUUGGUGUCCUUGUGUCGAGUGCAUGAAUGACAAAAAACAAAGCAUUCAAGUUGUCAAGAUUCAUUUAAUGUUAAAAGGAAUCUCGCCUUCUUAUAAGACUUGGGUGCAACAUGGAGAAUAUGCAAUUGAAGGCACAAUAUGAAAUUGCAUUACAAGCAUGUUAAGAACGUCUUACAUAUGGAUCCUUAUAGUCAUCCAUACGAACAUGUGACUCAAGAGGAUUGGCGCCACUUAAUUGACGAUGUGUGGAAAAGCAAAGAACACAAGGUAACUUACAUAUUUAGUGCUUCAGAGUUUAUAAGUAAAAUAUUUGAUCAUAAUGUUUUCUUUAGAUUUUUAAUUUGUAUUUUUUUUGAAGGUGAGAUCAAAAGCAGGCAAAAAGAAUAGGAAAAAGCUUGAGUACAAUCAUUGUUCAGGAUCUCGGUCAUUUGUUGCAACAAUGACUAUACAGAAUUCUAUAAGAAAACUCAUACCAAGAAGAACAAAGAGUGGAUUGAUCCUAUUUACGCCGUGAAACAUGUAGGUAUCUAAAAUCUCAAUAAUAAUUUAAAUCACUUUAUGCUUUUGCAAGAUUAUAUAUACAUUUAAUUCUGUUGUUACCUUUGCAUUGACAGUCAAAGAUGUUGAGCUUGCGAGAAGAAUCUUUCUAAUCCGGUGUGCAAUUAACAUCAGAGGAGAUGUCUAGGCAGGCACUUGGAAAAAGGAAGAGAUACAUUCUUGGAUUUGGGGAUGGGCCGAAGCCCUCUUCAUCUUCUUCCACACCUAGUCGUGUGUCACAAGACCAUGUUGGGGAGUUACAGAAACUUAAAGCUGAGAUGGAGGAGAUGAAGAUGGAGCGUGAGAUGGAGCGUGAGGAGCUGCGGAGGCAAUUGGAACAGGAGAGGAGAAAGCGUGAGGAGGAAAAGAAAGAGCGAGAGGAAGAACAGAAGCAAAUUGCACAUCUUACAAGUUUGGUGACAGAGUUCUUAAAGGAAAAGACUCAAACGCAUAAGUCGUCUAUCCAUCAUGAUGGGGCCAUGUCAUCAACUGGUGGCACAAAUACUCGUUGAUACAUGGUGGAGUUAUGAGCAUGUGAAUCUAGUUUUUGGUACAUGAAUAGCUUUUG
Molecule: non-coding RNA, 2404 nt
Organism: Phoenix dactylifera (date palm)
Lineage: Eukaryota; Viridiplantae; Streptophyta; Magnoliopsida; Arecales; Arecaceae
Source: RefSeq, a predicted model, not a curated record